RNAcentral lists this ribosomal RNA (480 nucleotides) under uncultured bacterium. RNAcentral's name for it is "partial 16S ribosomal RNA". It matches the Rfam family "Bacterial small subunit ribosomal RNA", at positions 28 to 507 of the family's 1533-position model. The record is from RNAcentral.
GACGAACGCUGGCGGCGUGCUUAACACAUGCAAGUCGAACGAUGAAGAAAAGAAUUGAAGCUUCGGCAGAAAUUCAUUUCGGAUUAGUGGCAGACGGGUGAGUAACGCGUGAGCAACCUACCUCUUACAAAGGGAUAGCCUCGGGAAACCGGGAUUAAUACCAUAUAACAUUGCGACGAAGCAUUUCGAUGCAAUCAAAGCUACGGCGGUAAGAGAUGGGCUCGCGUCCCAUUAACCAGAUGGUGAGGUAACGGCUCACCAUAGUAACGAUGGGUAACCGGCCUGGGAGGGUGAACGGUCACACUGGAACUGAGACACGGUCCAGACUCCUACGGGAGGCAGCAGUGGGGAAUAUUGCACAAUGGAGGGAACUCUGAUGCAGCGACGCCGCGUGAGUGAUGAAGGAAUUCGUUUCGUAAAACUCUGUUCUAUGGGAAGAAAAGGACUGUACCAUAGGAGAAAGCUCCGGCUAAAUACGUG